UGGGGAAUAUUGCACAAUGGGGGAAACCCUGAUGCAGCGACGCCGCGUGAACGAAGAAGGUAUUCGUAUCGUAAAGUUCUGUCCUAUGGGAAGAUAAUGACAGUACCAUAGAAGAAAGCUCCGGCUAAAUACGUGCCAGCAGCCGCGGUAAUACGUAUGGAGCGAGCGUUGUCGGAAUUAUUGGGCGUAAAGGGUACGCAGGCGGUUUAAUAAGUCGAAUGUUAAAGAUCGGGGCUCAACCCCGCAAAGCAUUGGAAACUGAUAAACUUGAGUAGUGGAGAGGAAAGUGGAAUUCCUAGUGUAGUGGUGAAAUACGUAGAUAUUAGGAGGAAUACCAGUAGCGAAGGCGACUUUCUGGACACAAACUGACGCUGAGGUACGAAAGCGUGGGGAGCAAACAGG
RNAcentral lists this ribosomal RNA (402 nucleotides) under bacterium. Its description in RNAcentral is "partial 16S ribosomal RNA". It matches the Rfam family "Bacterial small subunit ribosomal RNA", at positions 355 to 776 of the family's 1533-position model. The record is from RNAcentral.